UCCGAUGUGGCGCAAUGGUAGCGCAGGCGGCUGUUAACCGCAAGGUUGUAGGUUCGAUCCCUACCGUCGGAGCCA
Molecule: transfer RNA, 75 nt
Filed under: marine sediment metagenome
Description: tRNA-Asn
Rfam family: tRNA
About the family: Transfer RNA (tRNA) molecules are approximately 80 nucleotides in length. Their secondary structure includes four short double-helical elements and three loops (D, anti-codon, and T loops).
Source: RNAcentral